GUGAAUCAUCAAAUCUUUGAACGCAAAUUGCACUCUCUGGUAUUCCGGAGAGUAUGCCUGUUUGAGGGUCAGUAAAAAUAAAAAUCGGUGUGGUUGGUGCCUUUCGUGGUGACGUACCGGCUUUGGGUCGUCUUGCCUUCGAUUAAGUUACAUUAAAUUUUUCAUGAUUUUUUUUGUAGGGUAUUAAA
This 188-nucleotide unclassified non-coding RNA is filed under the name Glomeraceae sp. RNAcentral's name for it is "partial contains 5.8S ribosomal RNA and internal transcribed spacer 2". The stretch from base 1 to 71 matches the Rfam family "5.8S ribosomal RNA", at positions 84 to 154 of the family's 154-position model. The record is from RNAcentral. Lineage: Eukaryota; Fungi; Glomeromycota; Glomeromycetes; Glomerales; Glomeraceae.